Molecule: ribosomal RNA, 725 nt
Filed under: uncultured bacterium
Lineage: Bacteria
Description: bacterial SSU rRNA
Rfam family: Bacterial small subunit ribosomal RNA
Source: RNAcentral
CAGUCGAACGGCAGCACGGGAGCAAUCCUGGUGGCGAGUGGCGAACGGGUGAGUAAUGUAUCGGAACGUACCUUUCAGUGGGGGAUAACGUAGCGAAAGUUACGCUAAUACCGCAUAUUCUGUGAGCAGGAAAGCAGGGGAUCGCAAGACCUUGCGCUGAUUGAGCGGCCGAUAUCAGAUUAGCUAGUUGGUGAGGUAAAGGCUCACCAAGGCGACGAUCUGUAGCGGGUCUGAGAGGAUGAUCCGCCACACUGGAACUGAGACACGGUCCAGACUCCUACGGGAGGCAGCAGUGGGGAAUUUUGGACAAUGGGGGCAACCCUGAUCCAGCCAUGCCGCGUGAGUGAAGAAGGCCUUCGGGUUGUAAAGCUCUUUCGGCCGGGAAGAAAUCGCAUGGGUUAAUACCCUGUGUGGAUGACGGUACCGGAAUAAGAAGCACCGGCUAACUACGUGCCAGCAGCCGCGGUAAUACGUAGGGUGCGAGCGUUAAUCGGAAUUACUGGGCGUAAAGCGUGCGCAGGCGGUUUAGUAAGACAGGCGUGAAAUCCCCGGGCUCAACCUGGGAACUGCGCUUGUGACUGCUAAGCUAGAGUACGGCAGAGGGGGGUGGAAUUCCACGUGUAGCAGUGAAAUGCGUAGAGAUGUGGAGGAACACCGAUGGCGAAGGCAGCCCCCUGGGCCGAUACUGACGCUCAUGCACGAAAGCGUGGGUAGCAAACAGGAUU